RNAcentral lists this ribosomal RNA (435 nucleotides) under uncultured Candidatus Pelagibacter sp. Its description in RNAcentral is "bacterial SSU rRNA". It matches the Rfam family "Bacterial small subunit ribosomal RNA", at positions 29 to 507 of the family's 1533-position model. Lineage: Bacteria; Pseudomonadati; Pseudomonadota; Alphaproteobacteria; Candidatus Pelagibacterales; Candidatus Pelagibacteraceae. The record is from RNAcentral.
AACGUACGCUGGCGGCACGCCUAACACAUGCAAGUCGAACGAAGUAGCAAUACUUAGUGGCAGACGGGUGAGUAACAUGUAGGUAUCUGCCCUUUGGACCUGGAAUAACACGAGGAAACUUGUGCUAAUACCGGAUAAGUCUUUACGGAGAAAGCUUUAUGCACCAUUGGAUGAGCCUGCACUUGAUUAGUUUGUUGGUGGGGUAAUGGCCUACCAAGACUGUGAUCAAUAGCUGAUUUGAGAGGAUGAUCAGCCACAUUGGGACUGAGACACGGCCCAAACUCCUACGGGAGGCAGCAGUGGGGAAUCUUGCACAAUGGAGGAAACUCUGAUGCAGCGAUGCCGCGUGAGUGAAGAAGGCCCUUGGGUUGUAAAGCUCUUUCGUCGGGGAAGAAAAUGACUGUACCCGAAUAAGAAGGUCCGGCUAACUUCGUG